Molecule: ribosomal RNA, 253 nt
Filed under: uncultured bacterium
Lineage: Bacteria
Description: partial 16S ribosomal RNA
Rfam family: Bacterial small subunit ribosomal RNA
Source: RNAcentral
UACGUGGGUGGCAAGCGUCGUCCGGAUUUACUGGGUGUAAAGGGCGUGUAGCCGGGCUGACAAGUCAGAUGUGAAAUCCGGGGGCUCAACCCCCGAACUGCAUUUGAAACUGUUGGUCUUGAGUAUCGGAGAGGCAGGCGGAAUUCCUAGUGUAGCGGUGAAAUGCGUAGAUAUUAGGAGGAACACCAGUGGCGAAGGCGGCCUGCUGGACGACAACUGACGGUGAGGCGCGAAAGCGUGGGGAGCAAACAGG